Molecule: long non-coding RNA, 685 nt
Filed under: Homo sapiens (human)
Lineage: Eukaryota; Metazoa; Chordata; Mammalia; Primates; Hominidae
Description: HSALNT0253271
Source: RNAcentral
UGAGGGGCCCGCACAUGCCCUGCUCAUCUCAAAACUUCUCGAGAAGCAAAUCUAACUUGCAGGAACUUUGAGAAAGGCAGGAGAAGCAAAAAAGCAAAAUGAGAUUGUUUUCAUAACUUAAAGAGGCUGAAAAUGAUGAAACUGGGCUGAGAUGUGUUACAGGAGCCUACACAGCUAGAAGGAUAGAUUCGAGGUCAUGCUUUGAGCAAAAGCCAUUAAAAUACAUAAAUAACAUUGUAUCACACUUUUGCCUCUCAAGUUGAGACUGCCUCUAAAUUGACUAGCGUUACAAAUAUCCUAACAGAAAACUAUCCCUAAAACCUAGAAAGCCAUAUUAUGCUUUGGCAAUCAUCUGACCAUGUACAACAAAUGUAAUGAAAACGGUAAACCUGAACCAAGGCAAACCCAACAGUUUAAUUUAAAAACUUGAAGAUACUAAGUAUUCCCUUCAACUGGACAUUCAGAAACUUCACGUGGCUACAUUGUAUUUCCCCCCACGAGUUGCUUCAGGGUUGUGAAAUUCACUGGACUGUGGAGGGAGCCUUAAACCUUUGUGGGUGAUUGACGUCUAAAGUACCUGAGCUUUUCUGGUUCUGCUGACCCUCAGUCUCCUGGACCCUAGGAGAAGAAUCAGACCCAUCCUUCAGUCUCAUCUCUAGAAGCCCAGAAUAAAAUGAAAAAGGUA